This 497-nucleotide ribosomal RNA is filed under the name uncultured bacterium. RNAcentral's name for it is "partial 16S ribosomal RNA". It matches the Rfam family "Bacterial small subunit ribosomal RNA", at positions 28 to 507 of the family's 1533-position model. The record is from RNAcentral.
GAUGAACGCUGGCGGCGUGCCUAAUACAUGCAAGUCGAGCGAACAGACGAGGAGCUUGCUCCUCUGACGUUAGCGGCGGACGGGUGAGUAACACGUGGAUAACCUACCUAUAAGACUGGGAUAACUUCGGGAAACCGGAGCUAAUACCGGAUAAUAUAUUGAACCGCAUGGUUCAAUAGUGAAAGACGCUUUUGCUGUCACUAAUAGAUGGAUCCGCGCCGCAUUAGCUAGUUGGUAAGGUAACGGCUUACCAAGGCAACGAUGCGUAGCCGACCUGAGAGGGUGAUCGGCCACACUGGAACUGAGACACGGUCCAGACUCCUACGGGAGGCAGCAGUAGGGAAUCUUCCGCAAUGGGCGAAAGCCUGACGGAGCAACGCCGCGUGAGUGAUGAAGGUCUUCGGAUCGUAAAAUCCUGUUAUUGGGGAAGAACAAAUGUGGAAGUAACUAUGCACGUCUUGACGGUACCUAAUCAGAAAGCCACGGCUAACUACGUG